Cicer arietinum (chickpea) is the source of this 1091-nucleotide non-coding RNA. NCBI's taxonomy places the organism in Eukaryota, Viridiplantae, Streptophyta, Magnoliopsida, Fabales, Fabaceae. The record is from RefSeq and is a predicted model, not a curated record.
UGCCGGAUGGGUACACAGCUGUUGCAGACACAUUACAAUCAGCUACUUUCCAAACUAGCUGUCAGACUUGUCUUAACUGCUUUCAGUGACAUUUUUAGCACAGUUUAACCAUGGUUGAAUCGUUGAGACAUGAAUCAAUACUUUUUUGGUCUAGCUUUUAAAGCAUUGUUGGGCAGUAAAUCUUUGUUAUCAGUACCAGAUAACAAGUUUUAAAAUCUUAGAUGUCUUGGAUUGCUUAAUAAAUAAUUUAGAGAUAACAUGUCAGGAAGUAUUUCAAUAGAGAAAUUGUAUAAUAGUUUUGGAAUGUAUAAAUUUGUGCAUGAUAGGAUAAUUUUUAUGGCAAUUUAGGAUACUUUGAUUUGUCUUGUAGAAGAUGGGAUAUAUGGCUAUUUUGGUUUUUUUGAACACCCCUACCUAUUGAUGCCUAGAAAAAUCUCAGCUUUUUGUUUUCCAAUUAUCAGUGAACUUAUUACGGGUCAACCUGCGCAGAGGCCGCCUCGUGGGGUUCAUACCGUGUGCCCACUUGCUCUUGUUCUCUCACCAACUAGGGAGAUAUCAAUGCAGAUACAUGAAGAGGCUAAGAAGGUUGCAUGCCAGACCGGGGUGAGGGUGGUUGUUGCUUAUGGCAGAGCUCCAGUUAACCAGCAGCUACGAGAGCUUUAGAGAGGGGUGGACAUUCUUGUUUCAACUCUAGGAAGACUAGUAGAUUUGCUGGAAAGAGCUAGUUUCACUGCAGAAGAAUAGGUAUCUGGUCUUAGAUGAGGCAACUAGGAUGUUGGACAUGAGUUUUGAACCCCAGAUUAGGAAGAUUGUAGAACAAAUAGAUAUGCCCCCAGCAGGUGAAGAUUUAAAGCUAUUUUGUUGUUGAAGGUGGAAUCUUGGCAAUUUAGUGGACUCAAUUUCUUAAUGUUUUUUGAGAUUGUUAUGUAUGACAUAAUAUGUCUAUUUUAAAUGUUAGUAAGAUAAUGUUUUCCACUACUAAGUAAAAAUAUUCUGCACUGCACUAUGGUGAACAUUGUUUAACUAUUGGUUUAUCGUUGUAAGACUUUUAUGUAAAUUUUUAAUAUAUACGAUGAACACCUUUUAUUUUA